GAAUUCGCCCUUCGGUAAUUCCAGCUCCAAUGGUGUAUGCUAACACUGUUGCAGUUAAAAAGCUCGUAGUUUAAUUUUUAAGGGAAUUGACUAUAUGUGUUCUUUAUGAACUGCAAUAUAUGUUGAUUAUCCUUAUUUUGCGAUUUUUAAUGUUGAAAUUUGGUUUUUGGCAGUAAAAUAGUUGUACAUUUACUUUGAGAAAAUUAGUGUGCUCUAAGCAGUCGUACGGCCAUAUCCUAAAGCAUGGAAUAAUAAGUAAUGACAACAAUCACUUUCUGUUGAUUUGGGAGAUUGUUGUAAUGAUUUGUAGAGCUUGUCGGAGGUACUAGUAUUUUAUCGUUAGAGGUGAAGUUCUGGGAUCGAUAAAAGAAUAACAACUGCGUAAGCAAUUACCUAGGAUUUUCUUCUUGAUCAAGAACGUAAGUUGGGAGAUCGAAGACGAUCAGAUACCGUCGUAGUCUCACCUUUAAACUAUAUUGGCUAGGGGUUAGUAAAUGUUUACAUGACUUUAUUAGAACCUUAAGAGAAAUCAAAGCUUUUGGAUUCCGGGGGGAGUAUGGUCGCAAGGCUGAAACUUAAAGGAAUUGACGGAAGGGCACCACAAGAUGUGGAUCCUGUGGCUUAAUUUGACUCAACACUGGGAAACUUAUCAGGUCCAAACAUAGGUAUGAUUGACAGAUUGAAAGUUCUUUCUUGAUUCUGUGGGUGGUGGUGCAUGGCCGUUCUUAGUUGGUGGAGUGAUUUGUCUGGUUAAUUCCGUUAACGAACGAGACUAUUACCUGCUUUAUAGUGAUAUCCUUUGGUUAGGAUCUUUACUUCUUAGAAGAACUAGCUUUUGAUAAAUUGCUGGAAGUUGAUAGCAAUAACAGGUCUGUGAUGCCCUUAGAUGUCCGGGGCUGCGCACGGGCUACAUUAGGAGAGUAAUUGAGUUUGUUGAACUAAGCUUGAGAGGGGCGUAGAAAUCUUAAACCUAUUCUUUAUUUGGGAUCGCGCUUUGAAACUUUUACGUGUCAACUAGGAAUAUCUAGUAUGUGUAUGUCAUCAACGUGUCCUGAAUACGUCCCUGCCCUUUGUACACACCGCCCGUCGCUCCUACCGAUUGGAUGAGUUGGUGAGUUGAUUGGAAUAAGAGCUAUUUUCUGACAUAGAUGGUUGUGGUCUUUAAAAAUUUACAAACUAGAUUAUCUAGAGGAAGGAGAAGUCGUAACAAGGUAAGGGCGAAUUC
RNAcentral lists this ribosomal RNA (1225 nucleotides) under uncultured eukaryote. RNAcentral describes it as "SSU rRNA". It matches the Rfam family "Eukaryotic small subunit ribosomal RNA", at positions 570 to 1831 of the family's 1831-position model. The record is from RNAcentral.